GAGGGUGUAGCUCAGGGGUAGAGUGUGUGCUUAGCAUGCACGAGGUCCUGGGUUCAAUCCCCAGUACCUCCA
This 72-nucleotide transfer RNA is filed under the name Camelus bactrianus (Bactrian camel). It matches the Rfam family "tRNA". Rfam says of the family: Transfer RNA (tRNA) molecules are approximately 80 nucleotides in length. Their secondary structure includes four short double-helical elements and three loops (D, anti-codon, and T loops). Lineage: Eukaryota; Metazoa; Chordata; Mammalia; Artiodactyla; Camelidae. The record is from Rfam by way of RNAcentral. RNAcentral also lists the same sequence under 3 other names.